Molecule: unclassified non-coding RNA, 378 nt
Filed under: plant metagenome
Description: partial contains 5.8S ribosomal RNA, internal transcribed spacer 2, and large subunit ribosomal RNA
Rfam family: 5.8S ribosomal RNA (bases 1-105)
Source: RNAcentral
GAAAUGCGAUAAGUAAUGUGAAUUGCAGAAUUCAGUGAAUCAUCGAAUCUUUGAACGCACCUAGCGCUCCUUGGUAUUCCUUGGAGCAUGCCUGUUUGAGUAUCAUGAAAUCUUCAAAGUAAAUCUUUUGUUAACUCAAUUGGUUUCUACUUUGGUAUUGGAGGUCUUUGCAGCUUCACACCUGCUCCUCUUUGUUCAUUAGCUGGAUCUCAGUGUUAUGCUUGGUUCCACUCGGCGUGAUAAGUUAUCUAUCGCUGAGGACACUGUAAAAGGUGGCCAAGGUAAAUGCAGAUGAACCGCUUCUAAUAGUCCAUUGACUUGGACAAUACUUUUAUGAUCUGAUCUCAAAUCAGGUAGGACUACCCGCUGAACUUAAGC